RNAcentral lists this ribosomal RNA (279 nucleotides) under uncultured bacterium. Its description in RNAcentral is "partial 16S ribosomal RNA". It matches the Rfam family "Bacterial small subunit ribosomal RNA", at positions 506 to 784 of the family's 1533-position model. The record is from RNAcentral.
UGCCAGCAGCCGCGGUAAUACGGAGGGUGCAAGCGUUGUUCGGAAUUACUGGGCGUAAAGAGCGUGUAGGCGGUUUUCUAAGUCUGAUGUGAAAGCCCGGGGCUCACCCCCGGAAGUGCAUUGGAAACUGGAGAACUAGAGUACCGGAGAGGAAGGUGGAAUUCCUGGUGUAGCGGUGAAAUGCGUAGAUAUCAGGAAGAACACCGGUGGCGAAGGCGGCCUUCUGGACGGAUACUGACGCUGAGACGCGAAAGCGUGGGGAGCAAACAGGAUUAGAUA